Molecule: non-coding RNA, 420 nt
Organism: Rattus norvegicus (Norway rat)
Lineage: Eukaryota; Metazoa; Chordata; Mammalia; Rodentia; Muridae
Source: RefSeq, a predicted model, not a curated record
AUGUAGUUGGAACUGGGCUUAAUUUUUAUUGUUGCUCUCUUAAAAGAUGUCCAGUGUGAAGUGAAGCUGGUGGAGUCUGGUGGAGGCUUGGUGCUAUCUGGGGGUUCUCUGAAACUCUCUUGUGUAGCCUCUCGAUUCACUUUCAGUAGCUACUGGAUGACCUUGGUUCAGCAGACCCCUGGCAAAGCCCUGGAGUGGAUUGGAGAGAUUAAACCAGAUGGCAGUAGGACAAACUAUGCACCAUCCUUAAAGAAUCGAUUCACAAUCUCCAGAGACAAUGCCAAGAGCACCCUGUAUCUGCAGAUGAGCAAUGUGAGAUCUGAGGACACAGCCACUUAUUACUGUGUUAAAGACACAAUGAAUGAACUUCAGUGUGAAACUAGACAAAAACCUCACUGUCAGGCCACUCUGAACCACUAG